This 404-nucleotide unclassified non-coding RNA is filed under the name soil metagenome. RNAcentral describes it as "partial contains 5.8S ribosomal RNA, internal transcribed spacer 2, and large subunit ribosomal RNA". The stretch from base 1 to 122 matches the Rfam family "5.8S ribosomal RNA", at positions 35 to 154 of the family's 154-position model. The record is from RNAcentral.
GAUGAAGAACGUAGCAAAAUGCGAUACUUGGUGUGAAUUGCAGAAUCCCGUGAACCAUCGAGUUUUUGAACGCAAGUUGCGCCCGAAGCCUUUUGGCCGAGGGCACGUCUGCCUGGGCGUCACGCAUCGCGUCGCCCCCCACAAUUCUCCGUAAAGGGAACAUGUGUUUUGGGGGCGGAUAUUGGUCUCCCGUGCUCAUGGCGUGGUUGGCCGAAAUAGGAGUCCUUUCGAUGGACGCACGAACUAGUGGUGGUCGUAAAUACCCUCGUCUUUUGUUUCGUGCUGUUGCUCGCAAGGUAAACUCUUUAAAAACCCCAAUGUGUCGUCUCUUGACGACGCUUCGACCGCGACCCCAGGUCAGGCGGGACUACCCGCUGAGUUUAAGCAUAUCAAUAAGCGGAGGA